UCACAUCACAACAUAUGAAUGAGAAAGGAAGGGGUGAUAGAUGAAUAAGGAAGGAAAGGGUGAUGGCAAAUUUGAUUGUGGGAUGAUGGAAAUACUAUGGUGCAAAAAAAAUCAAAGUUUCAAUUGUGUGUAUACGUGUAUGCAUGU
Molecule: long non-coding RNA, 147 nt
Organism: Octopus sinensis (East Asian common octopus)
Lineage: Eukaryota; Metazoa; Mollusca; Cephalopoda; Octopoda; Octopodidae
Exons: 3
Source: RefSeq, a predicted model, not a curated record